This 108-nucleotide small nuclear RNA is filed under the name Chinchilla lanigera (long-tailed chinchilla). Lineage: Eukaryota; Metazoa; Chordata; Mammalia; Rodentia; Chinchillidae. The record is from RNAcentral.
GUGCAUGUUUUGGCAGCACAUAUAUUUAUAUUGGUACAAUAAAGAGAAGAUUAGUAUGGUCUCUCUGCAAAGAUGACAUGCAAAUUUUGUGAAGCCUUCCACAGUUUU